AGAAGCUUGCUUCUCUGAUGUUAGCGGCGGACGGGUGAGUAACACGUGGAUAACCUACCUAUAAGACUGGGAUAACUUCGGGAAACCGGAGCUAAUACCGGAUAAUAUUUUGAACCGCAUGGUUCAAAAGUGAAAGACGGUCUUGCUGUCACUUAUAGAUGGAUCCGCGCUGCAUUAGCUAGUUGGUAAGGUAACGGCUUACCAAGGCAACGAUGCAUAGCCGACCUGAGAGGGUGAUCGGCCACACUGGAACUGAGACACGGUCCAGACUCCUACGGGAGGCAGCAGUAGGGAAUCUUCCGCAAUGGGCGAAAGCCUGACGGAGCAACGCCGCGUGAGUGAUGAAGGUCUUCGGAUCGUAAAACUCUGUUAUUAGGGAAGAACAUAUGUGUAAGUAACUGUGCACAUCUUGACGGUACCUAAUCAGAAAGCCACGGCUAACUACGUGCCAGCAGCCGCGGUAAUACGUAGGUGGCAAGCGUUAUCCGGAAUUAUUGGGCGUAAAGCGCGCGUAGGCGGUUUUUUAAGUCUGAUGUGAAAGCCCACGGCUCAACCGUGGAGGGUCAUUGGAAACUGGAAAACUUGAGUGCAGAAGAGGAAAGUGGAAUUCCAUGUGUAGCGGUGAAAUGCGCAGAGAUAUGGAGGAACACCAGUGGCGAAGGCGACUUUCUGGUCUGUAACUGACGCUGAUGUGCGAAAGCGUGGGGAUCAAACAGGAUUAGAUACCCUGGUAGUCCACGCCGUAAACGAUGAGUGCUAAGUGUUAGGGGGUUUCCGCCCCUUAGUGCUGCAGCUAACGCAUUAAGCACUCCGCCUGGGGAGUACGACCGCAAGGUUGAAACUCAAAGGAAUUGACGGGGACCCGCACAAGCGGUGGAGCAUGUGGUUUAAUUCGAAGCAACGCGAAGA
Molecule: ribosomal RNA, 909 nt
Filed under: Staphylococcus aureus
Lineage: Bacteria; Bacillati; Bacillota; Bacilli; Caryophanales; Staphylococcaceae
Description: bacterial SSU rRNA
Rfam family: Bacterial small subunit ribosomal RNA
Source: RNAcentral